GACGAACGCUGGCGGCGUGCUUAACACAUGCAAGUCGAACGGAAAGGCCCUGCUUUUGUGGGGUGCUCGAGUGGCGAACGGGUGAGUAACACGUGAGUAACCUGCCCUUGACUUUGGGAUAACUUCAGGAAACUGGGGCUAAUACCGGAUAGGAGCUCCUGCUGCAUGGUGGGGGUUGGAAAGUUUCGGCGGUUGGGGAUGGACUCGCGGCUUAUCAGCUUGUUGGUGGGGUAGUGGCUUACCAAGGCUUUGACGGGUAGCCGGCCUGAGAGGGUGACCGGCCACAUUGGGACUGAGAGACGGCCCAGACUCCUACGGGAGGCAGCAGGGGGGAAUAUUGCACAAUGGGCGGAAGCCUGAUGCAGCAACGCCGCGUGCGGGAUGACGGCCUUCGGGUUGUAAACCGCUGUCGCCUGUGACGAAGCGUGAGUGACGGUAAUGGGUAAAGAAGCACCGGCUAACUACGUG
Molecule: ribosomal RNA, 468 nt
Filed under: uncultured bacterium
Lineage: Bacteria
Description: partial 16S ribosomal RNA
Rfam family: Bacterial small subunit ribosomal RNA
Source: RNAcentral